CGGGGAACCAGGACUUUUACUGUGAAAAAAUUAGAGUGUUCAAAGCAGGCCUUUGCCCGAAUACAUUAGCAUGGAAUAAUAGAAUAGGACGUUGUGGUUCUAUUUUGUUGGUUUCUAGGACCGCCGUAAUGAUUAAUAGGGAUAGUCGGGGGCGUCAGUAUUCAGCUGUCAGAGGUGAAAUUCUUGGAUUUGCUGAAGACUAACUACUGCGAAAGCAUUCGCCAAGGAUGUUUUCAUUAAUCAGGAACGAAAGUUAGGGGAUCGAAG
This 267-nucleotide ribosomal RNA is filed under the name Thalassiosira rotula. RNAcentral describes it as "partial Eukaryotic small subunit ribosomal RNA". It matches the Rfam family "Eukaryotic small subunit ribosomal RNA", at positions 736 to 1003 of the family's 1831-position model. The record is from RNAcentral. Lineage: Eukaryota; Bacillariophyta; Thalassiosirophyceae; Thalassiosirales; Thalassiosiraceae.